GUCCACCAGGCGACCUGCUCUUUUGCCUUUGCUCCCCACCACCACGAUCACAAAGAUGUUGCCCCAGAAUCCAGUGAAGAAUAUCAGGUUCAAUAAUAAAUCUCUGGAAAAUGACCUGCAGAAAAGCAUCUCAAUCAAGCCUCUUUCACACAAAGUACACAAGCAUGAUGGGAAAUAAAGAAAUGACCACUGAACCGGACUUGAAACAGACAGAGCUGCUUGAGUCAAAACACGUCUCAAUCAAUAGCGGCUUAUCUUGCCAUCUCAGAGCAUUUAGUAGGCACAAAGCCAAACCAGAAAGAGAGGAUGUGUGUUUUCUGUGAAGCCAUAUCCACACGCCAAGAAAGAAAGAAAAUAACAAGAGAUCAUCAUCCGCUUUCAGAUGUGGCACCAGAUAUCUGAUGAACUCUGUUACUUAUUACUAACUUGUAUCUCUUGUCCUUUUAUCUACUUAAAGUCUCCUUUUUCUGUAGUGUUACACAUAUUUUAAAAGUUUCUCAGGUAGUGGAAAACAAGAUUAUAAUUCAUCUACCAAAAUAGAAAAGUUAUAAACAUCAAAUGUCUGGGGAUACAAGGACUUUUUCAGCAGAGUCCAUUCGUUUCCAGCAGAGUUUAUUGGUCUGUUAUAUUGGUUACAAUAAUAUGAUUGAAAUCAAAAUAAACUCAUUGCUCACUAGUUAAUUCAUUCAUUCUGCUUUAUUUACUCCGAAACCAGUUUUGUCCUGUUGGAUCACACAUUUUUAUCCAAAUGUUUACAGUCUAUCAGUCAUUAUUUCACUCAUUCAUGGUACUAGCAACGCUUCCAGCUUCAUUACACUAUGCCCCUCAGCAUGAUGCUGCCUCCUCUUGAUAGCCUCUGGAUUUGGUUUUGUGCCUCCAUCAAGCUCAGCUUCGGCACAGAGACGGUGCAGCAACCAUCUCCAACUUCACCUCAAAUCCAGCUGAAAUGUGGACACAGCUGUUUGCUCCAAAAGCAACAAAGAUCCUAAACGCAGAUCCAAGAAACGACAAAGCAGCUAACAUCAACCUCCUUUAACAACCCAGAACACAAAGCAACAAAAAAACAACAAAAACAAUCAGGAAGCAUUUUAUGCCAGAAGCUUGUUGAUGGGAAAGACUGAGAUUUCUCUACAACUUAAGGAACAUUUAAGCAAAUAUUACAAAAUAUUAGAUUGUACAUAUUUGUUGUGUAAUGA
Molecule: non-coding RNA, 1196 nt
Organism: Poecilia reticulata (guppy)
Lineage: Eukaryota; Metazoa; Chordata; Actinopteri; Cyprinodontiformes; Poeciliidae
Source: RefSeq, a predicted model, not a curated record